RNAcentral lists this transfer RNA (64 nucleotides) under Achatinella sowerbyana. RNAcentral describes it as "tRNA-Ser". Lineage: Eukaryota; Metazoa; Mollusca; Gastropoda; Stylommatophora; Achatinellidae. The record is from RNAcentral.
AUUUACCUUUCUUUAGGAAUUUGAAAUUCUUAUAAGGGAAAACCAAUUUUUUUCCAGGUGAAUU